This 253-nucleotide ribosomal RNA is filed under the name uncultured bacterium. RNAcentral describes it as "partial 16S ribosomal RNA". It matches the Rfam family "Bacterial small subunit ribosomal RNA", at positions 524 to 776 of the family's 1533-position model. The record is from RNAcentral.
UACGGAGGGUGCGAGCGUUGUCCGGAAUCACUGGGCGUAAAGGGCGCGUAGGCGGCGCGAGGAGUCGGGGGUGAAAGUCCGGGGCUCAACCCCGGAUCGGCCUUCGAUACUCUCGCGCUGGAGCACAGUAGAGGCGGGUGGAAUUCCGGGUGUAGCGGUGGAAUGCGUAGAGAUCCGGAAGAACGCCGGUGGCGAAGGCGGCCCGCUGGGCUGUGGCUGACGCUGAGGCGCGACAGCGUGGGGAGCAAACAGG